UUCCGAUAAGGAAAAGGAACCAUCAGGCAUCAAUAUACUUAAACACAAGAUAUCAAGAAUCUGUCGUUGAGAAUAGAAUUGAGAGGAACCAGCUAUAUACUCCAGCUGGGAACAAAAUGCACAUUGCACAAUGCCAGAGCAAUUAUUACAAAACUUUAACAAUUUACAGAGCUUGCAAUGACAUAAACCAAUAUUUUGAGCAAUUAUUACAAAACUUUAACAAUUUACAGAGCUUGCAAUGACAAACCAAUAUUUUUGCACCUUACUACUUACUAGUAGGCUAAACAAAAUCAAAACAUGAAACAACGGGUCCAGAUUAGAGGAAUGAAGACCAGGAAGGCUUAUAAUAUCUUGAGAAGGAAUAUCUCAGCCAUAAGAUGCAAAUAAAUGCGGAGAAAAAUCCUCAAUCCAUGGAAAAGAAUAGCAGCAUGAUUCCAAUCGACCGAAAUCUCAAGCCCCAACCCUACUUCCUAAUUUGGUAAACAACACUCCUUCAAGCUACUUUUUGCUAGAACUUGAAGGACCAGAAUCCCUGAAUAGCAGAUAAACAGAUGAUACUAACUGGAAUCUACCUGCAAACAAUAAUAAUCUGUUAAUGAAAAAUAUACACACAUUAACAUAUAUUGUAACAAUUUGUAACUGUUGUAAUAUAUAUCUUUAUAUAAUGAUAGUUGCUCAAAUUAUUCUGUUAAUUGCACCCGAGACCAUAGACUUUUACCUUGAAAAGACUACACUAUUCAUGAGCAAGUAUACUACAUCACUAGUGCAGCUAUAACUUUCCCUAGUAGUUGCUAGUGUCGACUUCUGCAACUCCCUACUAUAUCUGUUCACUAUGUGUUAAACAUAUCUGUUACCACCUGUUUCCCUCUUUCUUUUCAAUUUCCCUUGGUGGUUCAAAAAGCUUUAAAAUGACAACAGCAAAAAGUAAUAAGUAGAACAUACCAUUUAGCUUUAGGACAAUUCCAGGUAGAUUUUCUUGAGGCGUGCAACAGUGAGAACAAUCCUUCAGAAAACUCAAAUGCAGACAUGCAGGCGCAGCAAUGGUAACAUAUACACUGUAGUAAUUAUGAGCCAGCAAAUAAUGUCCACUAUGCACAGAAUAUCCAAUCUGCACAAGAACCUACUGUAGAUCUCCACUACCUAAGAAUAUGAUUUGAACACUAUACAUCUGGACAGUAAAAAUAU
This 1185-nucleotide long non-coding RNA is filed under the name Daucus carota (carrot). RNAcentral's name for it is "long non-coding RNA (DCAR_LNC004591)". Lineage: Eukaryota; Viridiplantae; Streptophyta; Magnoliopsida; Apiales; Apiaceae. The record is from RNAcentral.